UUGACAUCCCGAUGCUACUUCUAGAGAUAGAAAGUUACUUCGGUUACAUCGGUGACAGGUGGUGCAUGGUUGUCGUCAGCUCGUGUCGUGAGAUGUUGGUUAAGUCCCGCAACGAGCGCAACCCCUAUUGUUAGUUGCCAUCAUUCAGUUGGGCACUCUAGCGAGACUGCCGGUAAUAAACCGGAGGAAGGUGGGGAUGACGUCAAAUCAUCAUGCCCCUUAUGACCUGGGCUACACACGUGCUACAAUGGUUGGUACAACGAGUUGCGAGUCGGUGACGGCGAGCUAAUCUCUUAAAGCCAAUCUCAGUUCGGAUUGUAGGCUGCAACUCGCCUACAUGAAGUCGGAAUCGCUAGUAAUCGCGGAUCAGCACGCCGCGGUGAAUACGUUCCCGGGCCUU
Molecule: ribosomal RNA, 400 nt
Filed under: uncultured Streptococcus sp.
Lineage: Bacteria; Bacillati; Bacillota; Bacilli; Lactobacillales; Streptococcaceae
Description: bacterial SSU rRNA
Rfam family: Bacterial small subunit ribosomal RNA
Source: RNAcentral